CGUAGGAGACGAGCGUUAUCCGGAUUUACUGGGCGUAAAGCGUGAGCAGGCGGUUCGGCAAGUUGGAUGUGAAAUCUCCCGGCUCAACUGGGAGGGGUCGUUCAAUACUACCGAACUUGAGGUCAUCAGAGGAAGGUGGAAUUCCGGGUGUAGUGGUGAAAUGCGUAGAUAUCCGGAGGAACACCAGUGGCGAAGGCGGCCUUCAGGGAUGAUCCUGACGCUCAGACACGAAAGCUAGGGGAGCGAACGGGAUUAGAGACCCCGGUAGUCCUAGCUGUAAACGAUGUAGACUUGGCGUCGGAGGGUUCAAAACCUUCGGUGUCGUAGCUAACGCGAUAAGUCUACCGCCUGGGGACUACGGCCGCAAGGUUA
RNAcentral lists this ribosomal RNA (372 nucleotides) under uncultured organism. Its description in RNAcentral is "bacterial SSU rRNA". It matches the Rfam family "Bacterial small subunit ribosomal RNA", at positions 526 to 896 of the family's 1533-position model. The record is from RNAcentral.